Molecule: long non-coding RNA, 1111 nt
Filed under: Sarcophilus harrisii (Tasmanian devil)
Lineage: Eukaryota; Metazoa; Chordata; Mammalia; Dasyuromorphia; Dasyuridae
Description: lncRNA (ENSSHAG00000031239.1)
Source: RNAcentral
CUAAUCUUCUUACACUUUACUCCACAUCACAAACUCUACCAUUCAAUCCAACAACUGGUUUUGUUGCUGUUCCUCAAACACAGCAUUCUGUUUCUCAACACAGACAGCUUUUCACUGGCUGUCCUUGCCUACUUUUUUUCCCCUCUUGGAUAAUUUGGCUUCCUUCAAGACAAAACUCCUUUUAUAAGAAGCCUUUCCUGAUAGCCCCUACUACUAGGACCAUCUCAUUGAGAUUACCUCCAAUUUACAAAUUAUCUUGUAUAUACAUAGUUGUGUGUAUCUUGCCUCAUAGAAUAUGAGCUUCUUGAAGGGAGGGAUUUGUUUUUUGCCUUUGUAUCUAUACUUAGUGUUUUGCACAGUGGCUGGAACAUAAUAAGCAUUUAAUAAAUGAUUGCUUUGUUGACUUCAAUAAUUUUUAGCUUAGAGAAAUGUCCAAAAUUGACACAGUCUACUUAUGCCCUUGUAUUUCUCUCUACCCCUAGACAAUUUACCUUUAUCAUAAUCUUGAAUGAGGAAAAGUGGAUAUAUUAAAAUAUAGUUUGGAGUUAUCAUUCUAGAAAAACGGUUACUUAAUUUAUAACCAAAACUUAUUUAAUUUUUUCUUUUACUACUCUAUUAUAAUCACCAAAAGAAUUUUCUCCCUAACAGAUACAUUUCUUAAGAGAAGUAUGUCUGAGAAUUUUUGAUAAGAAAUAUGUUAGUGUCUUCUCAGGGGAUAGGAUGUGAAAGGCCAACAGGCACAGGUAGACCUUAAAAUUAGGGGCUUUCUCUUUCAGUGGAAUAAAAAACCCUCAGUAUCUCUUUUAUCCACCCCCUACCUUUAACAGUUUGGGGGAGGGGGGAAUAAAAGGGAAAGAGACAGGAGAAUUAAUUAAGCACCUGUAGUAUACCAGAAAGUGUCAGAACUGUCCAAGGACCUAGCAGAUGUAAAAACAAAGAGUACACAAUCCCAAACUUCAACGAGUUUAACUAUCACAGAAGAAAACAGGUAUAUAUAAGUAGAUAAAGAAUAUAUACAAUGCUAAUACAAGGUAAUUUGUAUAAUGGGGAAGGAAGAAAAUAGGAACCAACAUUUAUUAAGUAUCUACUAUGUUCUAGGGACUGGACUAAU